RNAcentral lists this ribosomal RNA (253 nucleotides) under uncultured bacterium. RNAcentral describes it as "partial 16S ribosomal RNA". It matches the Rfam family "Bacterial small subunit ribosomal RNA", at positions 524 to 776 of the family's 1533-position model. The record is from RNAcentral.
UACGAAGGGUGCAAGCGUUACUCGGAAUUACUGGGCGUAAAGCGUGUGUAGGCGGUUUGUUAAGUCCGUUGUGAAAGCCCUGGGCUCAACCUGGGAAUUGCAGUGGAUACUGGCGAGCUAGAGUGCGGUAGAGGAUGGUGGAAUUCCCGGUGUAGCGGUGAAAUGCGUAGAGAUCGGGAGGAACACCAGCGGCGAAGGCGGCAUCCUGGACUGGUCCUGACACUCAGGAGCGAAAGCGUGGGGAGCGAUCCGG